UUUUCCCUGCUUUGCGCGGCAGGGGCUUCAUUCUCCUACCCAACAUUAAAACCCAUCGGGAGCUAGUGUUCGGUUGCGGACGGGCUGUGCGGUUCGCCAAACGGCCCGGUAAACAAUUGACGGGUUCCCACCUUACUCACGUAAGGUCAGGAGAGUGUCCCACCGGCAAAGCGGGGAUUUU
This 181-nucleotide non-coding RNA is filed under the name Lentisphaerota bacterium. Its description in RNAcentral is "Lentisphaerae bacterium (anaerobic digester metagenome) 6S RNA". It matches the Rfam family "6S / SsrS RNA". Rfam says of the family: E. coli 6S RNA was the first non coding RNA to be sequenced, but its function was unknown until recently. Lineage: Bacteria; Pseudomonadati; Lentisphaerota. The record is from RNAcentral. RNAcentral also lists the same sequence under 1 other name.